GUGCCCUGAGAGCUCUGCCGGGGCAGCCGCCUCUCGCAGCCUGAUCUACAGCCUCGUUGUUCUCCGGGCUGCCCUGGAUUAGAGCGGUGCGACUGAAGGUGGACCCGGGGAAACCCUUCGUUCCCCCCGCCGGCGGGGAUUCCAGAUACAAUUCCGAAUGUCGGCGUCUCCCGGGCGAGCGGCGCGGCUCUGCCCGCCCAAAGCCGCCCCGGCAGCAGAGACUGAAGGACGGGGUUGGCACCACGGGAGGCUUCAAUUUACCAGGGAUGGGAUUUACUGCGCCCAAAUCUGCAUCCCAGCCCCUACGCCAGGCUACGGCAGAAGCGAGGGAAAUAAGGAAAUAUUCGAAAUAGAGUCGUCAUUUGCAUUUAUUUUGACGCUGAGGUGUGGUAAGCCUUAGCGGGGUUCCUUGCCUGGAAUGAGCAGGUCCGCGCUGGCUGCUUAGGAAGCUCAGCAGGACCGGUUCACACACGGAUGCUGUCGAAGGGGAUAAACAGAUUCUGUCUUUGGGAAUGGCUGCAGAUCUUGCGAGCACACACACAUACUCCAAAGGAGCCACAAGAGUCACCAAGGAACAUUUGAAACCUACUGGUCCCAAGGGGAAGCUCAGGCUUCAAAAGUUCAGCAAGCCCUUCAAGGAGGGAAGGUUGAUUAGACCUAGCAGAGCACAGUAAUGCGCAUGAAACGUAGGGAAAUAUGAAAGAUAAUGACAAUAAAACUAUGAUGGGGGAGAGAGCCAAUAUUUAUGGGAAAACAGAAAGCUGUCUUGUAAUUUCUCAAGUCCAGCGAAGCUUCAAGCAAGGAAACAAACUGCUGGUGACAGCUUUUUUCUUUUCCCAAGCUACCUCUUUCUAAGGACACUUUUAGGGAUAUAUGAGGAAGUUGACAAUAGCCAGUUCUUCUUUACUGUAAAGGUCCCUUGAAAAGAAAACCCUAAAAUAUUUCAUUCAUAGGUGUAUUUUUAAGAUGCUUCUAGGGUUUCAGUAAAGUUCUAACUGACCAAUUACACAAGAUACCAAAGCAGUUCAUAUUAAUUGAUAAUAUUUUCAGCCUACUAAUCAAAACACAUUGGAAGCUUUUAAUUAUUUCUGAGAGUUAGCUUUAGGAGCUCUAAAUUAUUUAUCUUUCUUAUCGUGUACCUUGAUAGUGAUAAGAGUUUUUAACAUCUUUUCUUAAUCAAAGGCAGAUAAGAUGACAUAUCUGAUUGGAAAUAACUGCCAGGAUUUUGUUUCUUUUUAUUUUCAUUUGCUCCCCAUAAUUAUCUAGGAAGCACCAGCCAGGAGGAAAUACAACUCCGAGGUUGUUUGGAAGUGACACUGAGACGUGAAAGGUGUGCAUUGAAUUUCACUGCUACAGAACACGAUAUGUUUAUAAGAAGUCAGUUCAGCCUAUUUCAUCCUACAGUGUGCUGUGAACCUCAGAGCUCACUGCAAGAUCAGGGGUCUGCAGUGGCAGAACCUACAUCCACACCAAGAGCACUAUGGAAAACUCAGGAUAAUAAAAAGGCAGCAAUUUAAUAUACAACAGAGAUUUGUAAUGGAAACAUGUUCCAUCCACACUGCUCAAAAAAAGAAACCCAAGGGAAAUGGAGAACUAAAGACUGAAACCCCAUCCUUCAACGUGCCUGCAGUCUCACGAUUUGUUGAAACCAAUUUUGGAGCAAGCUGCUGAUCAUGGUGUCCCUUUUGCUCCUCGCUUUGCAUUCUGGCUCCUUUUGGCUUGUAGGCAACACAGUGAGUCAGAACAGGAAACUGAUGCAGCUGAAAACCAAAGGCACUGAAAGAAAAGAUUGGGUUUGAUCCAGAUCAGCUCCUGAUCCAACUCACUGUUUAGUUGUAUCAGCACUGGCACACGAAUUGUUCAGGGCAGGAGAGGCAGUGGGACCACACCUUCUGGGAACAACCCACUCUUAAGUCAGCCUAAAUCAAGGUCAAAACACUGUCCAGUUCAUUGUGAACAGGGUUAGACAAAUUAAAAGACAUUUUAAGCAGUAUUGUCUCUCAACAAACUCCUUCUGUCAUUUUACAGAAAGAUUACUGGCUAAAGAUAAAGUAUUUAUUGAAAAGGAGCUGUAAUUUCCAGUAGGGUGAUCUUAAAUCUUGUAACAUUUCCUACCUGGGUUUUUUUGUGACUAUUUGUUCUACUGCCACAGAAGGCUUCCCUUAACUAUAACCAAGGGAUUUAUCCAAAUUAUGCUUCAAAAUUUGCUAUCAGAGUGUGUCAGGUAACCCAAUUUAACUGUUUGAGACACCCACUGUGACAGGACAGUUCACAAUUGUAUCCUAAAUAUUGCCAGGUGACAUAAAUGCUAGAGAAAAAAGUUUAGAAAAGAAAUAUGUGCAAAACCCCAAACUGCCUGAAUACAUUCCUUUUUUGCCACAUUUUUACAGGAACGUUAUUUAUGCCAAAAAACAUGGACCUACAACACAACCUUAAUCCAGCAGUGGCAUCAACCUUUGUAGACACAGAGUAAAAGAAUUCAUGGUUGAUACAAAGCAAAAGUCACAAAAAGUAGCUGUAAACCAAAGAGAUUUUAGGAUUUCUGUGAAGGCUGGAAUGUAAAUUUUAAUAGGUAACUGCUCACUUUGGCUGUUUUCUUUAGCUUCCUAGGGUAAAGGGAGUGAGCAGUGACUAAUACUCUGUGGAAGUCAAAUCAAUCCUGUAAAUUAUAGAUGCACUUCCAACAAAUACAUUAAAACUUAUCUGAUAAUCUUUGUUUCUUUUUUUCUGAUAAUCUAGGAGUCCUUUCAGUCCUGUGUCCUACUGUAGGAAUCCCAUCCUUUUCAUAAGAACAUGCUAAGUGUUUAAGUCAUAGGGAUGGUUCAGGCAUGUGAACAACAAUUAACAUCAGCAGAAGAUCAUUUUUUAUGUAGUUUCCUGCCAUCUUGCCUUACACUUUUGGGUGUAAGUUUGAUUCCAAGAUGUGUAAGAGAACAACCACCCCCAUUUUAAGCAGAUAUAGGAAAAAAGGAUCAUCAGCAAGAGUCGAGGUGUGCGACCAAAGCCAAAGCACUCUCAGGCUGGGUGAUGAGAGGCUGGAAGUGCUGUGGGCAGCGGGUGCAGUGGGACUUCACUGGAUUUCUCCCACUCUCUUGCCUGACACACACACCAGCAAACCAGAUUGUCUGACUGCUAAAGGUCACAACAGUAUUCUCUAGGAAGGUACUAAGAUUUCUUUAUCUGACUGGAAGGGUUUAAGAGAGGCUCCACAGAGGCCUGUGUUCUGCCUAACAUCAUGCAGUGUUUCCACUGAUGACUCAAUGAAGAAAUAAUGAAUAACCUGACCACAUUUUCAAAUUACUCAAAGUGACUCAAUGGUAAAAGAAGCUGCUCUUUUAUGGACAGCCCUAGAACAUAAAAUAAUUUUGAGAAUUGCUGCAGUGCUUUGAAAAACAGGAUGCACUUUGAUAUGGGUAAGUAGAGUGUGUUAUACAAUAAUCAAAUGCAAAAAUAAACUGGGAAAGGAUUGACUUCCAGCAGUCAUGCAAGGAAAAGACCUGGAGUGAAACUAAAUGUGAGACUACAAUGUCAGUUUCUUGGAAAUUUAAAAAAAAAUCACACUAUUUACAAACGUGUUAUAGGUAAGACAUGGAGCAUCUGUGCUACACAUUCCCUGGUUAGAUGCCAGCUGGGAUACUGCAUUCAGUUUUAGGGACUAAACUCAAGAAUGAACUAAAAGAGUCUAAAAAAAAAAGGAACAGCAAUGAUCUACGUACUCAGAAAACAUGACCUGUAAAGAAUUUCAAAACUUCCCAAUUUCUUCAUCUAUGAAA
Prinia subflava (tawny-flanked prinia) is the source of this 3773-nucleotide long non-coding RNA. RefSeq lists it as uncharacterized. The transcript is spliced from 2 exons. The record is from RefSeq and is a predicted model, not a curated record. NCBI's taxonomy places the organism in Eukaryota, Metazoa, Chordata, Aves, Passeriformes, Cisticolidae.